RNAcentral lists this ribosomal RNA (1459 nucleotides) under metagenome. RNAcentral describes it as "bacterial LSU rRNA". It matches the Rfam family "Bacterial large subunit ribosomal RNA", at positions 1471 to 2925 of the family's 2925-position model. The record is from RNAcentral.
GACGCAGGAAGAUAACCACGCUGAGUGUUGGACGUCUCAGUCUAAGGCCGUAGGUGCAACAGAGAUGUUGUACUGAGAACCGACGGGGAGCUCAACGAAAGGCGAGCGAAGGUGGUGAGUCUAUGCUGCCAAGAAAAACCAUCAUGGAAGUAUCGUGGUCAAUCGUACCGGAAUCCGACACAGGUAGAUAAGCAGAAUAUGCUAAGAUGCUCGAGAGAAUCCUCCUUAAGGAACUAGGCAUAAUCACCCCGUAACUUCGGGAGAAGGGGUGCCUGAUUUGUGUAAGACUCCGCGUCUGAAGCAAUGAUGGCCACAGUAAAGAGGCCCGGGUGACUGUUUAGUAAAAACACAUCACUCUGCUAACUCGAAAGAGAACGUAUAGGGUGUGACACCUGCCCGGUGCUGGAAGGUUAAGGGGAGAGGUCAGCGCAAGCGAAGCUUCGAACCGAAGCCCCAGUAAACGGCGGCCGUAACUAUAACGGUCCUAAGGUAGCGAAAUUCCUUGUGGGGUAAGUUCCCACGCGCACGAAUGGUGUAACAACUUGGGCGCUGUCUCAAGGAGGAACUCGGCGAAAUUGUAGCGGCGGUGAAGAUGCCGUCUACCCGCACCAAGACGAAAAGACCCCAGAACCUUUACUGCAUUCUGGUAUUGGAUUUGGAUAUUGAUUGUGUAGGAUAGCUGGGAGCCUGUGAAGCUUCGGCGUUAGCCGAGGUGGAGGCAACGGUGAAAUACCAGCCUGUCGAUGUCUAGAUUCUAACUAUUUCCCGUGAAUCCGGGGAUGGAACAGUGCCAGAUGGGCAGUUUGACUGGGGCGGUUCCCUUCUAAAGAAUAACGAAGGGGUCCAAAGGUCUACUCAAGUCGGUCGGCAAUCGACUGUAGUGCAAACGCAUAAGUAGGCCUGACUGCGAGUCCGACAGGACGAGCAGGCACGAAAGUGGGGGUUAGUGAUCCGGUGGUUGAAUGUGGGAUUGCCAUCGCUCAACGAACAAUAGGUACUCUGGGGAUAACAGGCUGAUCGCGCUCGAGAGUUCAUAUCGACAGCGCGGAUUGGCACCUCGAUGUCGGCUCAUCCUAUCCUGGGGCUGUAUAAGGUCCCAAGGGUCCGGCUGUUCGCCGGUUAAAAGGGUACGUGAGCUGGGUUUAGAACGUCGUGAGACAGUUCGGUCUCUAUCUGGUGUGGGCGCAUGAUGAUUGAAGUGACGAUCUCCUUAGUACGAGAGGACCGGGAGAUACGAACCUCUGGUGUUCCAGUUGUCCUGCCAAGGGCAAUGGCUGGGUAGCCAAGUUCGGGAGGGAUAAGCGCUGAAUGCAUAUAAGUGCGAAGCCCAUCACAAGAUAAGUCAUCGAUUACCUUCGGGUAUGUAGGCACGUUGUAGACUACGACGUUGAUAGGGUGGAUGUGUAAGACGCGUAAGCGUUUAAGCUAACCACUACUAAUCUGCCAAACGCUUGAUCAA